UGAACGCUGGCGGCGUGCCUACUACAUGCAAGUCGAGCGAACAGACGAGGAGCUUGCUCCUCUGACGUUAGCGGCGGACGGGUGAGUAACACGUGGAUAACCUACCUAUAAGACUGGGAUAACUUCGGGAAACCGGAGCUAAUACCGGAUAAUAUAUUGAACCGCAUGGUUCACUAGUGAAAGACGGUUUUGCUGUCACUUAUAGAUGGAUCCGCGCCGCAUUAGCUAGUUGGUAAGGUAACGGCUUACCAAGGCAACGAUGCGUAGCCGACCUGAGAGGGUGAUCGGCCACACUGGAACUGAGACACGGUCCAGACUCCUACGGGAGGCAGCAGUAGGGAAUCUUCCGCAAUGGGCGAAAGCCUGACGGAACAACGCCGCGUGAGUGAUGAAGGUCUUCGGAUCGUAAAACUCUGUUAUUAGGGAAGAACAAAUGUGUAAGUAACUAUGCACGUCUUGACGGUACCUAAUCAGAAAGCCACGGCUAACUACGUG
RNAcentral lists this ribosomal RNA (495 nucleotides) under uncultured bacterium. Its description in RNAcentral is "partial 16S ribosomal RNA". It matches the Rfam family "Bacterial small subunit ribosomal RNA", at positions 30 to 507 of the family's 1533-position model. The record is from RNAcentral.